Molecule: non-coding RNA, 102 nt
Organism: Dioszegia hungarica
Lineage: Eukaryota; Fungi; Basidiomycota; Tremellomycetes; Tremellales; Bulleribasidiaceae
Source: the annotation of a RefSeq genome assembly
GGUUGGAUGACCGAGCGGUUAAGGUGCUGUGUUAAGGAGGUGAAUAAAAACCCCCCCAAACCGCAGUCCGAAAGGGCGUGGGUUCGAAUCCCACUCCAAUCA